RNAcentral lists this ribosomal RNA (405 nucleotides) under uncultured bacterium. RNAcentral's name for it is "partial 16S ribosomal RNA". It matches the Rfam family "Bacterial small subunit ribosomal RNA", at positions 29 to 526 of the family's 1533-position model. The record is from RNAcentral.
AUUGAACGCUGGCGGCAGGCUUAACACAUGCAAGUCGAACGAGUGGCGGACGGGUGAGUAAUGCUUGGGAAUCUAGCUUAUGGAGGGGGAUAACUACGGGAAACUGUAGCUAAUACCGCGUACCAUAGGAUGAGCCCAAGUGGGAUUGGGUAGUUGGUGAGGUAAAGGCGCACCAAGCAGACGAACCCUAGCUGGUCUGAGAGGAAGACCAGCCACACAUGGACGGAGAAACGGCCCAGAUGCCUACGCGAGGCAGCAGUGGGGAAUAUGGCGCAAUGGGGGCAACCUGACGCAGCCAUACCGCGUGAAUGAAGAAGGCCUGAGGGUUGUAAAGUACUUUCGGUAGCGAGGCGUUAACUACAGAAGAAGCACCAGCUAACUCCGUGCCAGCAGCCGCGGUAAUAC